Molecule: long non-coding RNA, 1057 nt
Organism: Sorghum bicolor (sorghum)
Lineage: Eukaryota; Viridiplantae; Streptophyta; Magnoliopsida; Poales; Poaceae
Exons: 3
Source: RefSeq, a predicted model, not a curated record
CCGCUCCUGUCCCACGCUGGCAACCCUCCGCGAUGGCCAGACCUCAUGCUCUCUCUCUCCUUUCUCUCCUCUCCCCGCUGCCCCACCUCUGCCCCUCUCUUCCAUCUCCUUCCCCUUCCCGCGUAGGCAGAAGCGUGAGCCCCUCCGUGCCCUCUGUUCCAUGCUUGGACUCUAUGUAGCACGAGGGAGUAUGUGGAGCCGUGCGGGAUCUGGCGGCGCGCAGGUCCGGCAGCAUGCGAGAUCUGGUGGAGGGAGAGGUGGAAGCUCUGAUUAGUUGUAACUUUCCUCCUCUGUUUAGUCGCCCGCAUCCCCCAUCGACAGAAUGUCCGAGACCUCCGCUGCGGCGACUGGUGCAUGACUCCUCCGCCAAGAGCGAUCCCAAGUGGGAAAGAUGUAAAUAAUUGAAGCAAAGGGGCCAGAAGAGUGUCGUCUUUGGUUGAGGUUGGCUAGAACAAACUCGAUCCUGCAGUUCUUUGUGCUGCGCAGAUUUGCCUCUGUUUUUGUGAUGGCCUGGAACAAGAUGCUACAUCUCAAUUUUCUGAUCCCAUCCAAAGUGUUUUUAUUUGUUUGAGAUUUAAUUAACCGUCUGUUUUUUUCUGAGCAAAUAAAGACAUCCAUUAUAUUAUAUCUCAUUAUAAACAGGUUGCUCUGAGAUGCACAAGAGUUGAAGAGCUAUUGUUUUUAGAAGAACUGCAUUCAAGGUGGUUGCUGCAGCUCCCCAGGAAUAAAUUAUCUUGGAAUGUCUCCGAUUGGUACAAAAAAUUAGGCCAUUGCUAGAUGCUGGCAUCAGUACAAAUUCUCCCCGCCAUGCAAUGGUCAACACCCUGAAAUGUGUUCUAGGAUGUCGCUUUGGUCGGUUGUUGAGAUUUUCCAAUUAGUGUGUUUAAGUUACAUGAUGCUUAGUUAUCCAUAUUUCAUAUAUUUCUCAACAUUCCUUUUGUAAUAUGUCAAAUCACCUAUUGCUCACCAUCUCUGUUUGGCAUUGAAAAAACUUAUUACUGUACUUAGUCAACCAGAUUCUUCGGUGAGCUAUUUAAAUGAUGGGAUUUUUCAUUUC